RNAcentral lists this microRNA precursor (79 nucleotides) under Macaca nemestrina (pig-tailed macaque). RNAcentral's name for it is "miRNA (ENSMNEG00000004601.1)". It matches the Rfam family "mir-4477 microRNA precursor family". The record is from RNAcentral. Lineage: Eukaryota; Metazoa; Chordata; Mammalia; Primates; Cercopithecidae.
CUCCUCCCAUGAAUCACAAAUGUCCUUAAUGGCAUUUAAGGAUUGCUAUUAAGGACAUUUGUGAUUCUUGGGAGGAGGU